This 478-nucleotide ribosomal RNA is filed under the name uncultured bacterium. RNAcentral describes it as "partial 16S ribosomal RNA". It matches the Rfam family "Bacterial small subunit ribosomal RNA", at positions 28 to 523 of the family's 1533-position model. The record is from RNAcentral.
GACGAACGCUGGCGGCGUGCUUAACACAUGCAAGUCGAACGGUAAGGCCCUUCGGGGUACACGAGUGGCGAACGGGUGAGUAACACGUGGGUGAUCUGCCCUGCACUUCGGGAUAAGCCUGGGCAACUGGGUCUAAUACCGGAUAGGACCACUGCCUGCAUGGGUGGUGGUGGAAAGCUUUUGCGGUGUGGGAUGGGCCCGCGGCCUAUCAGCUUGUUGGUGGGGUGAGGGCCUACCAAGGCGACGACGGUUAGCCGGCCUGAGAGGGUGACCGGGCACACGGGGACUGAGAUACGGCGCAGACUCCGACGGGAGGCAGCAGUGGUGAAUAUUGCACAAUGGGCGCAAGCCUGAUGCAGCGACGCCGCGUGAGGGAUGACGGCCUUCGGGUUGUAAACCUCUUUCAGCACCGACGAAGCGCAAGUGACGGUAGGUGCAGAAGAAGGACCGGCCAACUACGUGCCAGCCGCCGCAGUAA